Molecule: long non-coding RNA, 713 nt
Filed under: Homo sapiens (human)
Lineage: Eukaryota; Metazoa; Chordata; Mammalia; Primates; Hominidae
Description: HSALNT0365800
Source: RNAcentral
AGAAAAUGGGCCCUCUUGGCCGUCGGGACUUGUACUGUUGGUGACUCCGUCUCCUUAGACGGUGGAGCCUGCGUGACCCAGAAAGGCCGUGAGUCUUGACACUGUAUUUUUGCAUAUGUGCGCACAUGUGCCGAUUUACAUUCACAUGCCCCAUAAGCCCUGUCCCAUUUGUCCUUCCUCUAAGCCGUCCUCUUACCCAGUUCCCCUCUCACACCUGAGAAGCAUUUCUCCGCAGGAGUCACAUUUAUAGCAUUAUUUUUUUCUUCGAACUAAAAACAUAACUCCUAUUUUCUCGGGUAGUUUUUGUAGGGAGGUCGAAAUAGAAACACUUCAGCCCCUCUUCGGCGAGGGAGGUUAGUUGGUAAGGUGCCCAUUGUUCACCCAUGGAAACAGGCCUGCCAAGGGCCGCCCCGCAGACAGCACUUGCCUCGGUGACCUGGCAGGACGUGCGGUUCUUGAGAUGAGUGGAGAAACGGACUCCCAGGUCCCUCUCGUUCUUCCAACACAGGGACAGCUAGAGCUGCUCCAAAAAUAUACCCUACUUCUUCCACAACCGUGAAUCUGUCAUUUUUACUGCACCAUCACUUACUUCCUGGCCUUCCCGGAGGAAGUGUGCGGGCCUCCCCGAAGUAACCGGUACCGCCCGGGGGGUUUUGAAGUUCUUGGUCAACUGCAAAAUCAAUCAACCUAGUUAACUCCUAGGGCCCUAAGUC